UGGCUCAGGACGAACGCUGGCGGCGUGCCUAAUACAUGCAAGUCGAGCGGACAGAUGGGAGCUUGCUCCCUGAUGUUAGCGGCGGACGGGUGAGUAACACGUGGGUAACCUGCCUGUAAGACUGGGAUAACUCCGGGAAACCGGGGCUAAUACCGGAUGGUUGUUUGAACCGCAUGGUUCAGACAUAAAAGGUGGCUUCGGCUACCACUUACAGAUGGACCCGCGGCGCAUUAGCUAGUUGGUGAGGUAACGGCUCACCAAGGCGACGAUGCGUAGCCGACCUGAGAGGGUGAUCGGCCACACUGGGACUGAGACACGGCCCAGACUCCUACGGGAGGCAGCAGUAGGGAAUCUUCCGCAAUGGACGAAAGUCUGACGGAGCAACGCCGCGUGAGUGAUGAAGGUUUUCGGAUCGUAAAGCUCUGUUGUUAGGGAAGAACAAGUGCCGUUCAAAUAGGGCGGCACCUUGACGGUACCUAACCAGAAAGCCACGGCUAACUACGUGCCAGCAGCCGCGGUAAUACGUAGGUGGCAAGCGUUGUCCGGAAUUAUUGGGCGUAAAGGGCUCGCAGGCGGUUUCUUAAGUCUGAUGUGAAAGCCCCCGGCUCAACCGGGGAGGGUCAUUGGAAACUGGGGAACUUGAGUGCAGAAGAGGAGAGUGGAAUUCCACGUGUAGCGGUGAAAUGCGUAGAGAUGUGGAGGAACACCAGUGGCGAAGGCGACUCUCUGGUCUGUAACUGACGCUGAGGAGCGAAAGCGUGGGGAGCGAACAGGAUUAGAUACCCUGGUAGUCCACGCCGUAAACGAUGAGUGCUAAGUGUUAGGGGGUUUCCGCCCCUUAGUGCUGCAGCUAACGCAUUAAGCACUCCGCCUGGGGAGUACGGUCGCAAGACUGAAACUCAAAGGAAUUGACGGGGGCCCGCACAAGCGGUGGAGCAUGUGGUUUAAUUCAAAGCAACGCGAAGAACCUUACCAGGUCUUGACAUCCUCUGACAAUCCUAGAGAUAGGACGUCCCCUUCGGGGGCAGAGUGACAGGUGGUGCAUGGUUGUCGUCAGCUCGUGUCGUGAGAUGUUGGGUUAAGUCCCGCAACGAGCGCAACCCUUGAUCUUAGUUGCCAGCAUUCAGUUGGGCACUCUAAGGUGACUGCCGGUGACAAACCGGAGGAAGGUGGGGAUGACGUCAAAUCAUCAUGCCCCUUAUGACCUGGGCUACACACGUGCUACAAUGGACAGAACAAAGGGCAGCGAAACCGCGAGGUUAAGCCAAUCCCACAAAUCUGUUCUCAGUUCGGAUCGCAGUCUGCAACUCGACUGCGUGAAGCUGGAAUCGCUAGUAAUCGCGGAUCAGCAUGCCGCGGUGAAUACGUUCCCGGGCCUUGUACACACCGCCCGUCACACCACGAGAGUUUGUAACACCCGAAGUCGGUGAGGUAACCUUUUAGGAGCUAGCCGCCGAAGGUGGGACAGAUGAUUGGGGUGAAGUCGUAACAAGGUA
This 1496-nucleotide ribosomal RNA is filed under the name Bacillus subtilis. RNAcentral describes it as "bacterial SSU rRNA". It matches the Rfam family "Bacterial small subunit ribosomal RNA". The record is from RNAcentral. Lineage: Bacteria; Bacillati; Bacillota; Bacilli; Caryophanales; Bacillaceae.